RNAcentral lists this ribosomal RNA (435 nucleotides) under uncultured bacterium. RNAcentral's name for it is "partial 16S ribosomal RNA". It matches the Rfam family "Bacterial small subunit ribosomal RNA", at positions 29 to 507 of the family's 1533-position model. The record is from RNAcentral.
AGCGAACGCUGGCGGCAGGCUUAACACAUGCAAGUCGAGCGGGCAUCUUCGGAUGUCAGCGGCAGACGGGUGAGUAACACGUGGGAACGUACCCUUCGGUUCGGAACAACUCUGGGAAACUGGAGCUAAUACCGGAUACGCCCUUAUGGGGAAAGGUUUACUGCCGAAGGAUCGGCCCGCGUCUGAUUAGCUAGUUGGUGGGGUAACGGCCUACCAAGGCGACGAUCAGUAGCUGGUCUGAGAGGAUGAUCAGCCACACUGGGACUGAGACACGGCCCAGACUCCUACGGGGGGCAGCAGUGGGGAAUAUUGGACAAUGGGCGCAAGCCUGAUCCAGCCAUGCCGCGUGAGUGAUGAAGGCCUUAGGGUUGUAAAGCUCUUUUGUCCGGGACGAUAAUGACGGUACCGGAAGAAUAAGCCCCGGCUAACUUCGUG